UCCGGGAUAGCUGAGUUGGUACAGCAGUCGGCUGUUAACCGAAAGAUCGGGGGUUCGAGUCCCUCUCCCGGAGCUA
Molecule: transfer RNA, 76 nt
Filed under: Lysobacterales bacterium
Lineage: Bacteria; Pseudomonadati; Pseudomonadota; Gammaproteobacteria; Lysobacterales
Description: Xanthomonadales bacterium tRNA-Asn
Rfam family: tRNA
About the family: Transfer RNA (tRNA) molecules are approximately 80 nucleotides in length.
Source: RNAcentral